GAUGAACGCUGGCGGCGUGCCUAAUACAUGCAAGUCGAGCGAACGGACGAGAAGCUUGCUUCUCUGAUGUUAGCGGCGGACGGGUGAGUAACACGUGGAUAACCUACCUAUAAGACUGGGAUAACUUCGGGAAACCGGAGCUAAUACCGGAUAAUAUUUUGAACCGCAUGGUUCAAAAGUGAAAGACGGUCUUGCUGUCACUUAUAGAUGGAUCCGCGCUGCAUUAGCUAGUUGGUAAGGUAACGGCUUACCAAGGCAACGAUGCAUAGCCGACCUGAGAGGGUGAUCGGCCACACUGGAACUGAGACACGGUCCAGACUCCUACGGGAGGCAGCAGUAGGGAAUCUUCCGCAAUGGGCGAAAGCCGGACGGAGCAACGCCGCGUGAGUGAUGAAGGUCUUCGGAUCGUAAAACUCUGUUAUUAGGGAAGAACAUAUGUGUAAGUAACUGUGCACAUCUUGACGGUACCUAAUCAGAAGGCCACGGCUAACUACGUG
RNAcentral lists this ribosomal RNA (497 nucleotides) under uncultured bacterium. Its description in RNAcentral is "partial 16S ribosomal RNA". It matches the Rfam family "Bacterial small subunit ribosomal RNA", at positions 28 to 507 of the family's 1533-position model. The record is from RNAcentral.